This 310-nucleotide long non-coding RNA is filed under the name Capsicum annuum. RNAcentral's name for it is "long non-coding RNA (CANN_LNC017862)". Lineage: Eukaryota; Viridiplantae; Streptophyta; Magnoliopsida; Solanales; Solanaceae. The record is from RNAcentral.
UACCUCACCCCUACCCCAUCUCACCCAUAGGUAACUCCCCCUCCCCUCAUAUUUUGAACACAUAUACAAACCACUAGAAUAACAACAAAAAGGAGGAUACACACACCUCACCACAACAGGUGGUCCCCAUAGGAAUCUUCUAUACAAAUGUACUCACAAUAACACCACAACAACCAUAUAUACUCAUCUUCUCCAAAACCAAGUGACAGAGACGACAACAAUCUAUUUCUUUCAAUGGGAGAAAGGGCACACAGUAAAAAUCAACACACACGUACACGAGCUAACCAAAAAAUAGACCCAUCAAGAGAGA